AUGCUAGCCUGUUCAGGCCGCACACCGACUCAGGAAGUUAACGUGUUAGUAUUCUCACUUGCAGCCGAAACGGAGGCGAAGAGAUUACCGCCUGAGAGUCCCACGAACAAAGCGAGGUGGAGCGGAGACUCGAACCCGGAAUAUGGGACUUCACGGCUAGAUUCUUGGCCUCGACUACCGUCUUCUGCUGCCGACUCGCACCAAACAAGAAUAGAAGAACUCCUGUCUAACGAAGGUAAUACAGCAGAGAAACUGGAGGGGAUGUUCCAAAUCCAAGCUCCAGAAAGGGCAGCCAAGGAAGUCCAGAGAAUGAGAGUAAUGAUAGUGGACUGUAGUUUUUUUGGCUUUGCUUUUGCCUGUCCAGCGUCCAUUCUUCCUCCUGACAUAGCCCUCAUUUCCCUUUGGGGUCUUUAUCCUCCUCUAGUGGAUAGAGUGUUGGUAGUACUGUCAUUGACGAUGCUCAUCCUCCCCUGGCCAAAGAUAGGAGGCCUACUGGGUGCCCUCUUUCAUGAGUCCUGAGCAGCACUGCCUCCUGAAAUCCUUCCCUCCUCUAGGGCAGGUUCCUCUCAUGUCCCCAGAGUUCCAGCUGUCAGAACGCUUAUGAUGCCAGUCUGUUUAUAUGUUCCUGCUCCUGAGGCCUUUUACCCUUUCUGACAUAUACUUGGUGCACAAUAAGUAUUGAAUGAAUGAAUGAUGCCCACAUUGCUUAGAGUUGAUGGAGAGACCUGAAUAUUAGAUAAAAAGAUUAGAGCUACUUUAGUAGAUGUGCCAGAGAACGUGGCAGCAGCUGCCAGGCACUCCAGUCUAACUCCAGCCCUUGUGGCCACCUUUCCUGAGCUGGGACACUCUUGCCCAGCCUGGUACAGCCAUCCCUGAAUUCCACUGUCCUACUUGGGCCUUAGUUUCUAUCCCUUCCAGUUGUAUUCCUGGGCCUGGAGCCUCAUCCUUGCAAAAGCUUGAAAGGAUGUGGUUGGGGUGUUACCAAAAGAUCACACAAGGGUACAUUUACUUUAGCUCGCUACACUCCUCAGACUGGCUCUGCUUGGGAGAUUUAGAAAUCUGGACAGUUAGGGAGGGUGCUCCUGUCAUUGUUUCCCUCUGAUUCCCUUGGUGUGCAGGCACUUGACACAUUUUGCUUUAGAAAUGUCAAUACCUUUCAGUUUGGUCUGACUUUGGCCUAUGGCCAUUCUGACUUUUUAGGGUAAUUAGUGAGUGGCUAGGCUGGGAUUCAGACCCCUGCAGUCUGACUCCAGAGUCCUUGCUCACAACCACUACACUCUACUGCUUUGUCAAGAGAAGCACAAAAUUCUUUUCUUGUGCUGAAGAAGGUUUAGACCUCCUUCCCCAAAUCAGAUUCCUUAAAUCUGUCUGUAGUUUUCCUAUCUCUUAAAAAAAGAGAGUUUUAAAAACUAGAGAGGAGAGAAGCGGAUGUGGCUCAAGCAAUUGGGCUCCUGUCUACCAUAUAGGAGGUCCAGAGUUCUAUGCCUGGGGCUGGUGAAGGCAAGCUGGCCCAUGUGGUGAGCUGGCCCUCACAGAGGGCUGGCCUAUGCGGAGGGCUGGCCUGCACAGAGUACUGCCCUGCGCACGAGUACUGGCCCACGUGGAGAGCUGGCACAGCAAGAUGACGCAACAAAAAGAGACACAGAGAAGGGAUAAUAAGAGAUGCAGCAGAUCAGGGAGCUGAGGUGGCACAAGAGAAUGAUCGCCUUUCUCCCACUCUGAACCUGGGAUCAGUUCCCCAAGCCACCUAAAGAGACUACACGCAGGGAAGCGGAUUUGGCUCACCUGUUGAGUGUCUGCCUACCACAUGGGAGGUCCAGGGUUCAAACCCAGGGCCUCCUGAACCCUGUGGUGAGCUGGCCCACUGUGUGUGGGGUGCUGUGCCAUGCAGGGGUGUCCUCCCCGUAGGGGAUCCCCAUGCAUAAGGAGUGCGCCCAAUAAGGAGAGCCACCCCACACGAAAAAAAAUGCAGCCUGCCCAGGAGUGGUGCCACAUACACAGAGAGCUGACACAGCAAGAUGAUGCAACAAAAAGAGACAGAUUCCCAGUGCCGCUGAUAAGAAUAUAAGUGGACACAAAAGAACACACAGUGAAUGGACACAGAGCAGACAACUGGGGGGGAUGGGGAAGGGGAGAGAAAUAAAUUUAAAAAUUAAAAAAAAAAAAAGGAAUACAAGCAGACACAGAAGAACACACAGUGAAUGGACACAGAAAGCAGACAACCGGGGGAGGAAUAAAUAAAUCUUAAAAGAAUUAGGAAGAGAGAGUAUGAGAAUGAUUAUUAAAUAUUACAGUCGGUAAUUUUUUUAAAAAAUUAAUAAUAUCUGCUUAUCUUAGACAUAACCAUUAGUAGAACAAGCAGAAUAUAUAACCUUCAAACCAGUGGGUGGGUUCUGUCAAGGUUCUGGUUGCAAACAACAGAAAAUGGCUCUGGCCAACAUAAGCAGCUAAGGGAUUUAUUGAAAGGCUACCAGUAGCUUAAAAUAUCAACAGGAAGGAUGGAAAACCUGGGUGAGAAAGCAGACAGAAACCAGGGGAUAGUCUGCCUAGUGCGCUGUGGUUAGCACUCCUGCCCCUGGGCACACUAGCUGUCCUGGGUCUUGGUAUCAGUUGGCCAGAUCCAGGUCCAUGUUGCAUCGUGCUGCUGGCUGGUCCACACGGUACCACACGGUAUACUUCAGCAGGGGCAGAGAUUCUUUUCAGCUUCUGUAGUGGGAGCCUGGGCCUGGUCUCUCACCAAGAGUCACUCUAUGAGGGAUUCUCCCCAAUGGGAAGGGAGUUCAAAUGCUACAGGACCCUGUCCCCCCCAAAACAAACAAACAAACAAAUCCUCUAUUAGGAAAACUUGAUUGGCCAUUAGAAGACAAGAAUGGGGCAGAUGGAGAGACUGAGAAAUGGGUAAAAGAGGAUGGGCUCAAAACCAUCUUGAAAAAUAAAAAUAAUUGGAGGACUCACUUGUCCCAAUUUUAAAACUUUCUGAAGAGCUACAAUAAUCACCCUGUAGUACUGGCACAAAGAAAGCUAUACAGAUGAAUGGAAUUUCAUUGGGAGUUCAGAAAUAAACCCUUAUAUCUAUGGCCAGUUGAUUGUUGACAAGGGUACCAAGUCUACUCAGUGGGGAAAUAACAGUCUCCUCAACAGCAGGCCUGGGAAGACGAUAUCCACAUGCAAAAGAAUGAAAGUGGACCCCUACCUCACACCAUAUACAAAAAUUAACUGAAAAUGUAUCAGAGACAUAUAUAAAAAUAAAAACUGUAAAACUCCUAGAAGGAAAUGUGGGGAAGCAUCUUUAGGAUCUUGUGUUAGACAAUAAUUUCUUAGAUUUUACAUGGAAAACACAGCAACAAAAGAAAAAAGUAGGUAAGUGGGACUUAAAAUUAAGAACUUGUACAUCAAAGGACUUUAUCAAGAAAGUAAAAAGACAACCAAGAUGGUGGGAGGAAAUACUUGAAAACUAUCUGAUAAGGGUUUAAUAUCCAUAAUAUAUGAGGAACUAUAAACAACAAAAAGACAACCCAAUUAAGAAAUGGACAAUAGAUUUGAGUAGACAUUUCUCCAAAAGACAUAUACAAAUGGCCAAUAAUCACACAAAAAGAUGCUCAACAUCAUUAGUUAUUAGGGAAAUGCAUAACAAAACCACAAUGAGAUACCACUUCACACCCACCAGAAUGAUUACUAUUAAAAAACAGAGCAGAUGUGGCUCAAACAGUUGAGUGCCUGCUUCCCACAUGAGAGGUCCCAGGUUGGGAUCCUGGUGCCUCCUGGAAAAGAACAACAACAAGCAAAACAAAAGAAAAAAACAACUCAGGGUGGCCAAUGUGACUCAGUGGCUGAGUGCUGGCUUCCUACAUACGAGGUCCUGGGUUCAAUCCCCAGCCCCCAGUACCUAAAAACAAAACAAACAGAAAAUAAGUAUUGGGGGGAAACGGACUUGGCCCAGUGGUUAGGGCGUCCGUCUACCACAUGGGAGGUCUGCAGUUCAAACCCCGGGCCUCCUUGACCCGUGUGGAGCCGGCCCAUGUGCAGUGCUAAUGUGCGCAAGGAGUGCCCUGCCAUGCAGGGGUGUCCCCCGCGUUGGGGAGCCCCACGUGCAAGGAGUGCACCGUAAGGAGAGCCGCCCAGUGCGAAAGAAAGUGCAGCCUGCCCAGGAAUGGCGCCGCCCACACUUCCCGUGCCACUGACGACAACAGAAGCGGACAAAGAAACAAGACGCAGCAAAUAGACACAGAGAACAAACAACCGGGGCAGGGGGGGCAGGAAUUAAAUGAAUAAAUAAAUCUUUAAAAAAAAAAAAAAAGUAUUGGGGAGGAUGUGGAGAAAUAGGAACCCUUGUACAUUGGUGGUGGAAAGGUAAAAUGAUACAACUGCUCUAGAAGGCAGAUUGGCAGUUUCUUAGAAAGUUAAGUGUGGGAUUAUGUGACCUGGCAGUCCUACUUCUAGGUAUAUAUCCAAAAAACUUGAAAGCAUGGACUCGAGGUGUUUGCACAUCCAUGUUCAUAGCAGCAUUAUUCACAAUUGCCAAAAGUUGGAAGCAACCCAACUAUACAUCAGCAGAUGAAUGGAUAAACCAAAUGUGGUCUAUAUAUAUAAUGCAUUAUUAUCCAGCCAUAAAAAAGAAUGACGUUCUGAUAUAUGCUUGAAGACAUCAUGUUGAGUGAAUUAAACCAAAAACAAACCAACAAAUAUUGUAUGAUCUCACUUAGAUGAAGUAAUUAGUGUUUCUAAAUUCAAGGAGUCAGAAACUAGAACACAGGUAAGCAGCAGCCAGGUUGGGGAGGGAAGUGGGAGUUGACGGGAAGGAGUUUCAGAUUGGGUUAGGGAAAAAUUUUGGAAAUGGAUGAUGGUGGUGGUGGCACAAUAUUGUGAAUGUAAUUAACACAGCUGAACUGUAAAUUGAAGGUGGAUAAAACUGGAAAUUUUAAGCUAAGGAAUAAAAAAAAUGAGACAUGCUCACAGAUGUCAGGAGGGAUUUUGGAAAUAGCCUGUGACUAUGUAAAGAC
This 5000-nucleotide long non-coding RNA is filed under the name Dasypus novemcinctus (nine-banded armadillo). RNAcentral's name for it is "lncRNA (ENSDNOG00000049930.1)". Lineage: Eukaryota; Metazoa; Chordata; Mammalia; Cingulata; Dasypodidae. The record is from RNAcentral.